RNAcentral lists this ribosomal RNA (412 nucleotides) under uncultured bacterium. Its description in RNAcentral is "bacterial SSU rRNA". It matches the Rfam family "Bacterial small subunit ribosomal RNA", at positions 29 to 490 of the family's 1533-position model. The record is from RNAcentral.
AACGAACGCUGGCGGCAUGCCUAACACAUGCAAGUCGAACGAGACCUUCGGGUCUAGUGGCGCACGGGUGCGUAACGCGUGGGAAUCUGCCCUUUGCUUCGGAAUAACAGUUAGAAAUGACUGCUAAUACCGGAUGAUGUCUUCGGACCAAAGAUUUAUCGGCAAAGGAUGAGCCCGCGUAGGAUUAGGUAGUUGGUGGGGUAAAGGCCUACCAAGCCGACGAUCCUUAGCUGGUCUGAGAGGAUGAUCAGCCACACUGGGACUGAGACACGGCCCAGACUCCUACGGGAGGCAGCAGUGGGAAUAUUGGACAAUGGGCGCAAGCCUGAUCCAGCAAUGCCGCGUGAGUGAUGAAGGCCUCGGUCGUAAAGCUCUUUACCAGGGAUGAUAAUGACAGUACCUGGAGAAUAAG